AGACUUAGAGGCCGGCCACUGAGGUGGGCCACCUUGGGGGGAAUAAGUUUCCAACGGGGACAGCUUCAGGCCGCAAGCGCCACACAUGGCCCAGGGUGGAACUGGUGGGCUUCUGCCUCCGCCAUGAGCUGGCUUCUCCUUCUGGCUGCCAGGUCUACAGGAUGUCGGCCACAAGCGUAGGACUUGGUCGCCAGCUUAAAAUGUUUAAGGGGGACCAGAUGGUUCUCGCCAGUGCAGUACCGCUUAGGUCCACCAGAAAAGCUCAAUGAUGGCUCACUGUGCCCUCCACCUUCCUGGGCUCAUCCAGUCCAGAUGUAUAAUCUCAUCCCUGAACAUUUCUGAUGGUGUGAUUAUGACAUGUGACUUUAUCUGGCAACAGAGUGAGUUGUUGCUCCCGCCUGAGCCCAGCCCCCAGAAAGGAUUGUGACAUAUCGUUGGACCCAGAAUUGAGGUGCAGUUUUGACACACUUCUGUCUAGCAGCUGAGUAUUGUGAUCUUCAGAACUGGCCCAGCCUACAAAUAGGAUUGUGCCACACUGCUGGACCCAGCACCUAGAUGAUGUAACUAUUCUCCUGCCUUGGUGCUACUCAAAAAAGACAUUAACAUAUCUCAGAGCCUUGCACCCAGGU
Long non-coding RNA from Homo sapiens (human), 629 nucleotides. NCBI's taxonomy places the organism in Eukaryota, Metazoa, Chordata, Mammalia, Primates, Hominidae. The record is from Ensembl.